This 165-nucleotide non-coding RNA is filed under the name Callithrix jacchus (white-tufted-ear marmoset). RNAcentral describes it as "Eukaryotic small subunit ribosomal RNA". It matches the Rfam family "Eukaryotic small subunit ribosomal RNA", at positions 1667 to 1823 of the family's 1831-position model. Lineage: Eukaryota; Metazoa; Chordata; Mammalia; Primates; Cebidae. The record is from Rfam by way of RNAcentral.
CACCGCCUCAGUCGCUACUAUUGAUUGGAUGGCUUAGUGAGGCCCUCGGAUUGGCCCCGCCGGGUCGGCCCAUGGCCCUGGCGGAGCGCUGAGAAGACAGUCAAACCGGACUAUCUAGAGGAAGUAAAAGUCUUAACAAGGUUUCCGUAGGUGAACCUGCAGAAA